ACACCCCUUCACCAAUUAGAGAAGAGUGUUACUUGCAAUUGGUUGAGGAGACCAAACCGGAGGGCGAAUGCUCCCAGCUGGAGAAAAAGGGAAGCUUGUAGGGGGAGGUUUUCUUUGGAGAGCUGCUGAAAUCCUACUGUUCCUGAGCUGGGCUCUUUGAGACUGAAUCACUUCAAACGUAUCAUGCUAAAGGAGCUGAUAAAGAGGAAAGAAAACAAUUCAGGGUGAAAAAUUAGAGCUGCUGUAGAGAAACAACUAGAAACCCUACUUCUCAUCUUGCCUAAAGCUCACCUGAGGAUAUUGUUAAUCAUCUGACAACACGUUUCCUUCGACUGCCUUAUUCAUUCCCACAUCCAAUGGGUUACUGAGUCCUGUGCUAAGUUUACAGGAGAAAUCUCACUCAUAUCUGCACUAUUCUUUCCAAAUACACAGUUCUUGUCUUCGUUCAGGCCUUCUAUCAGUUUGGACUAUUGCAACCACCUUCUGGUUUGGUUGCUGGACACUAUCACUCACUCCACCCCAUUUCAUCCUCAACAUUGGUAUCAGAUCUGUCUUCCUAAAUAUAUUACCAUCCCUGCCUCCACUUUAUUUCUCCACUGACUGUAAAAUAAAUCAUCUUGGCAUGAUGUAAACAGCUCUUCACAGUCCUAUUUGUUUGCCCUAGUCUGCCAAUCUCCUCUCUUUAUCUCCACCACAGCACCUCUGACGAUGUUAUUCUUCCACGUGCUGCUUUUCUUUGGGUUUCCGAACAAGCAACCUCGUUUUCCUACAAUGUCCUUAAUUAAGAACUCUUAAUUCACCUUUUAAACCCAGUUCAAACAUUUUCUCCUUCUGUGAGGUCCUCCAAAAUCCCUAACAUCAGAGCUUUGAUAAUACUUCAGUGACUGUGCUUUUCACAUAUAUAUAUAAUUAAUACAUGUGCAUGUCUAUAUUCCCUAUGACAAUGAGACCUCCCAGGCCAAGUUCACUGUAAUGUUCCUGUUGUAUCCCAGCACUUAUUGCAGUGCCCAGAACACAACAGACACUAUGUAAAUGUUAAUGCUAAUUUGAAAUGUAAAACCUAAAAUGUUAAAUCAAACUAAUUAUAUAAUCCCAAUAAAUUCAGAAAAAGUAUAAAUUUUCCUAAUAAAAAGAAAUCAAUGUUACUAAACUUUAUAUGCUAGGAAUCUUAGUAGUGGUGGGGGUACAGAUGGGUUCAAAAGAAAGCAGGGAAAGCUCAUCAAUAUUUAACAAUGGACCAUCAUUAAGAAAAAUAUCUUCUAGGGGUGCCUGGGUGACUCAGUCAGUUGGGUGUCCAACUUCAGCUCGGGUCAUGAUCUUGUAGUUCGUGGAUUCGAGCCCCAUGUCGGGCUCUGCACUGACAGCUCAGAGCCUGGAGCCUGCUUUGGAUUCUAUGUCCCCCUCUCUCUCCGCCCCUCCCCUGCUGUGCUCUGCCUCUCUCUCUCAAAAAUAAACAAACAUUUAACAAAAUUAAAAAAAAAAAAAAAAACUUACAUGUUCUUUACUCUUCAGUUGCUUUACUCCGGAUUCUAUAACCUUAAUGUUGGGAAAGCGAUUUUCUAACAUAGUAUUCGGUUGCUCUUCAACAUCAAAUUCCUCCAAUACUUUAGAAACCUGUAUUAAAUCAAAAA
Long non-coding RNA from Acinonyx jubatus (cheetah), 1631 nucleotides. RefSeq lists it as uncharacterized. Lineage: Eukaryota; Metazoa; Chordata; Mammalia; Carnivora; Felidae. The transcript is spliced from 3 exons. The record is from RefSeq and is a predicted model, not a curated record.